Molecule: non-coding RNA, 148 nt
Organism: Gorilla gorilla gorilla (western lowland gorilla)
Lineage: Eukaryota; Metazoa; Chordata; Mammalia; Primates; Hominidae
Rfam family: Metazoan signal recognition particle RNA
About the family: The signal recognition particle (SRP) is a universally conserved ribonucleoprotein. It is involved in the co-translational targeting of proteins to membranes.
Source: Rfam
GCCAGGCAUGGUGGCGUGUGCCUAUAAUCCUAGCUACUGGGAGGGCUGAGGCAAGAGGAUUGCUUGAUCCCAGGAGUUCGAGGCUGCAGUGAGCUAUGAUCAUGCCACUGCACUCCAGCCUGGGCAACAGAGCAAGACCUUAUCUCUU